CCUACGGGUGGCAGCAGUGGGGAAUAUUGCGCAAUGGGCGAAAGCCUGACGCAGCGACGCCGCGUGAGGGAUGAAGGUCUUCGGAUCGUAAACCUCUGUCAGCAGGGAAGAACGGUCACUGUGCUAAUCAGCAGUGAAUUGACGGUACCUGCAAAGGAAGCACCGGCUAACUCCGUGCCAGCAGCAGCGGUAAUACGGAGGGUGCGAGCGUUAAUCGGAAUUACUGGGCGUAAAGCGCGCGUAGGCGGUAUUGCAAGUCAAGGGUGAAAUCCCCGCGCUCAACGUGGGAACUGCCUUUGAAACUGGCAAACUGGAGUGUGUGAGAGGAUAGUGGAAUUCCAGGUGUAGGAGUGAAAGCCGUAGAUAUCUGGAGGAACAUCAGUGGCGAAGGCGACUAUCUGGCACAUAACUGACGCUGAGGAGCGAAAGCGUGGGUAGCAAACAGGAUUAGAUACCCCUGUAGUC
Molecule: ribosomal RNA, 465 nt
Filed under: uncultured bacterium
Lineage: Bacteria
Description: partial 16S ribosomal RNA
Rfam family: Bacterial small subunit ribosomal RNA
Source: RNAcentral